RNAcentral lists this ribosomal RNA (253 nucleotides) under uncultured bacterium. RNAcentral's name for it is "partial 16S ribosomal RNA". It matches the Rfam family "Bacterial small subunit ribosomal RNA", at positions 524 to 776 of the family's 1533-position model. The record is from RNAcentral.
UACGUAGGGGGCUAGCGUUGUCCGGAAUCACUGGGCGUAAAGCGCACGUAGGCGGAUCUUUAAGUCAGGGGUGAAAUCCCGAGGCUCAACCUCGGAACUGCCUUUGAUACUGGGGAUCUCGAGUCCGGGAGAGGUGAGUGGAACUGCGAGUGUAGAGGUGAAAUUCGUAGAUAUUCGCAAGAACACCAGUGGCGAAGGCGGCUCACUGGCCCGGAACUGACGCUGAGGUGCGAAAGCGUGGGGAGCAAACAGG